RNAcentral lists this transfer-messenger RNA (272 nucleotides) under Staphylococcus epidermidis. Its description in RNAcentral is "transfer-messenger RNA Staph_epide_SR1". It matches the Rfam family "transfer-messenger RNA", at positions 1 to 282 of the family's 374-position model. Rfam says of the family: Bacterial tmRNA, also known as 10Sa RNA or SsrA, is named for its dual tRNA and mRNA-like properties. Its role is to liberate the mRNA from a stalled ribosome. RNAcentral also lists the same sequence under 2 other names. The record is from RNAcentral. Lineage: Bacteria; Bacillati; Bacillota; Bacilli; Caryophanales; Staphylococcaceae.
GGGGACGUUCUUGGAUUCGACAGGGGUCCCCCGAGCUUAUUAAGCGUGUCGGAGGGUUGGCUCCGUCAUCAACACAUUUCGGUUAAAUAUAACUGACAAAUCAAACAAUAAUUUCGCAGUAGCUGCGUAAUAGCCACUGCAUCGCCUAACAGCAUCUCCUACGUGCUGUUAACGCGAUUCAACCCUAGUAGGAUAUGCUAAACACUGCCGCUUGAAGUCUGUUUAGAUGAAAUAUAAUCAAGCUAGUAUCAUGUUGGUUGUUUAUUGCUUAG